This 72-nucleotide transfer RNA is filed under the name Pseudomonadota bacterium. RNAcentral describes it as "tRNA-Val". It matches the Rfam family "tRNA". Rfam says of the family: Transfer RNA (tRNA) molecules are approximately 80 nucleotides in length. Their secondary structure includes four short double-helical elements and three loops (D, anti-codon, and T loops). The record is from RNAcentral. Lineage: Bacteria; Pseudomonadati; Pseudomonadota. RNAcentral also lists the same sequence under 2 other names.
AGGCACGUAGCUCAGUGGGAGAGCGCUACCUUGACGCGGUAGAUGUCGGCGGUUCAAUCCCGCCCGUGCCUA